AGAGUUUGAUCAUGGCUCAGAACGAACGCUGGCGGCAGGCUUAACACAUGCAAGUCGAGCGCCUCGCAAGAGGAGCGGCAGACGGGUGAGUAACGCGUGGGAAUCUACCCAUCUCUACGGAACAACUCCGGGAAACUGGAGCUAAUACCGUAUACGUCCUUCGGGAGAAAGAUUUAUCGGAGAUGGAUGAGCCCGCGUUGGAUUAGCUAGUUGGUGGGGUAAUGGCCUACCAAGGCGACGAUCCAUAGCUGGUCUGAGAGGAUGAUCAGCCACACUGGGACUGAGACACGGCCCAGACUCCUACGGGAGGCAGCAGUGGGGAAUAUUGGACAAUGGGCGAAAGCCUGAUCCAGCCAUGCUGCGUGAGUGAUGAAGGCCCUAGGGUUGUAAAGCUCUUUCAACGGUGAAGAUAAUGACGGUAACCGUAGAAGAAGCCCCGGCUAACUUCGUG
RNAcentral lists this ribosomal RNA (451 nucleotides) under uncultured bacterium. Its description in RNAcentral is "bacterial SSU rRNA". It matches the Rfam family "Bacterial small subunit ribosomal RNA", at positions 8 to 507 of the family's 1533-position model. The record is from RNAcentral.